This 745-nucleotide ribosomal RNA is filed under the name uncultured cyanobacterium. RNAcentral's name for it is "bacterial SSU rRNA". It matches the Rfam family "Bacterial small subunit ribosomal RNA", at positions 8 to 796 of the family's 1533-position model. The record is from RNAcentral. Lineage: Bacteria; Bacillati; Cyanobacteriota.
AGAGUUUGAUCCUGGCUCAGGAUGAACGCUGGCGGUCUGCUUAACACAUGGAAGUCGAACGGAAGUCUUCGGACUUUAGUGGCGGACGGGUGAGUAACGCGUGAGAAUCUGCCUUCAGGUUGGGGACAACAGUUGGAAACGACUGCUAAUACCCAAUGUGCCGAGAGGUGAAAGCUUUAGUGCCUGAGGAUGAGCUCGCGUCUGAUUAGCUAGUUGGAGUGGUAAUGGCACACCAAGGCGACGAUCAGUAGCUGGUCUGAGAGGAUGAUCAGCCACACUGGGACUGAGACACGGCCCAGACUCCUACGGGAGGCAGCAGUGGGGAAUUUUCCGCAAUGGGCGCAAGCCUGACGGAGCAAGACCGCGUGAGGGAGGAAGGCUCUUGGGUUGUAAACCUCUUUUAUCAGGGAAGAAGAUCUGACGGUACCUGAUGAAUCAGCAUCGGCUAACUCCGUGCCAGCAGCCGCGGUAAUACGGAGGAUGCAAGCGUUAUCCGGAUUUAUUGGGCGUAAAGCGUCCGCAGGUGGUUUUACAAGUCUGCUGUUAAAGCGCGAGGCUUAACCUCGUACAGGCAGUGGAAACUGUGAGACUAGAGUAUGGUAGGGGUAGCGGGAAUUCCCAGUGUAGCGGUGAAAUGCGUAGAUAUUGGGAAGAACACCAGCGGCGAAAGCGCGCUACUGGGCCAUUACUGACACUCAUGGACGAAAGCUAGGGGAGCGAAAGGGAUUAGAUACCCCCGUAGUCC